Molecule: small nuclear RNA, 22 nt
Filed under: Arabidopsis thaliana (thale cress)
Lineage: Eukaryota; Viridiplantae; Streptophyta; Magnoliopsida; Brassicales; Brassicaceae
Description: snRNA_10073
Source: RNAcentral
UUAACAAAAAAUUAACUUCGUU